CUCUGGUGUGAGCGUUCUGACCGACCGCUUGUAUACAAGUGAAAACCACAGCGUCUGUGUGUGUUUCUACUCUUAGACUCUCAGCUGAAGAAGUGUCUUUAGAAUAAAUCUCUUGACACUUCUUCUUUUUGUUUUUCACCCAGGAGCAGGCUCUUCUCCUGCCAUUUCAUCAACAGAUUUUUCCGGAACCCUGUCGUACCUUCACCCCUGGACCCCUAGACCCGUGAGCGUGAGUGAAGCUGUUCAGCGUGGAGUUUUGUGUGUGCAAGGAGUGAGAGGAGCCGCG
This is a long non-coding RNA of Oreochromis aureus, 286 nucleotides long. Lineage: Eukaryota; Metazoa; Chordata; Actinopteri; Cichliformes; Cichlidae. The record is from Ensembl.